GCCAGCGUGGGGUCGUGGUUUGACCACUGGACUAUGACUCUAGAGACCAGGGUUCGAAUCCCAGCUCAGCCA
This is a non-coding RNA of Phrynosoma platyrhinos (Desert horned lizard), 72 nucleotides long. Lineage: Eukaryota; Metazoa; Chordata; Lepidosauria; Squamata; Phrynosomatidae. The record is from the annotation of a GenBank genome assembly.